Molecule: ribosomal RNA, 982 nt
Filed under: Metarhizium huainamdangense
Lineage: Eukaryota; Fungi; Ascomycota; Sordariomycetes; Hypocreales; Clavicipitaceae
Description: SSU rRNA
Rfam family: Eukaryotic small subunit ribosomal RNA
Source: RNAcentral
UCGUUUAUUUGAUAGUACCUUACUACUUGGAUAACCGUGGUAAUUCUAGAGCUAAUACAUGCUAAAAAUCCCGACUUCGGAAGGGAUGUAUUUAUUAGAUUAAAAACCAAUGCCCUCUGGGCUCUCUGGUGAUUCAUAAUAACUUCUCGAAUCGCAUGGCCUUGCGCCGGCGAUGGUUCAUUCAAAUUUCUUCCCUAUCAACUUUCGAUGUUUGGGUAGUGGCCAAACAUGGUUGCAACGGGUAACGGAGGGUUAGGGCUCGACCCCGGAGAAGGAGCCUGAGAAACGGCUACUACAUCCAAGGAAGGCAGCAGGCGCGCAAAUUACCCAAUCCCGAUUCGGGGAGGUAGUGACAAUAAAUACUGAUACAGGGCUCUUUUGGGUCUUGUAAUUGGAAUGAGUACAAUUUAAAUCCCUUAACGAGGAACAAUUGGAGGGCAAGUCUGGUGCCAGCAGCCGCGGUAAUUCCAGCUCCAAUAGCGUAUAUUAAAGUUGUUGUGGUUAAAAAGCUCGUAGUUGAACCUUGGGCCUGGCUGGCCGGUCCGCCUCACCGCGUGUACUGGUCCGGCCGGGCCUUUCCCUCUGCGGAACCCCAUGCCCUUCACUGGGUGUGGCGGGGAAGCAGGACUUUUACUUUGAAAAAAUUAGAGUGCUCCAGGCAGGCCUAUGCUCGAAUACAUUAGCAUGGAAUAAUGAAAUAGGACGUGCGGUUCUAUUUUGUUGGUUUCUAGGACCGCCGUAAUGAUUAAUAGGGACAGUCGGGGGCAUCAGUAUUCAAUUGUCAGAGGUGAAAUUCUUGGAUUUAUUGAAGACUAACUACUGCGAAAGCAUUUGCCAAGGAUGUUUUCAUUAAUCAGGAACGAAAGUUAGGGGAUCGAAGACGAUCAGAUACCGUCGUAGUCUUAACCAUAAACUAUGCCGACUAGGGAUCGGACGAUGUUAUUUUUUGACUCGUUCGGCACCUUACGGGAAAUCAAAGUGC